RNAcentral lists this ribosomal RNA (253 nucleotides) under uncultured bacterium. Its description in RNAcentral is "partial 16S ribosomal RNA". It matches the Rfam family "Bacterial small subunit ribosomal RNA", at positions 524 to 776 of the family's 1533-position model. The record is from RNAcentral.
UACGUAGGGUGCAAGCAUUAAUCGGAUUUAUUGGGCGUAAAGGGCGCGUAGGCGGAAAUGCCAGUCAGAUGUGAAAUCCCGGGGCUCAACCCCGGAACAGCAUUUGAAACUACAUUUCUAGAGGGUAGGCGGAGAAAACGGAAUUCCACAAGUAGCGGUGAAAUGCGUAGAUAUGUGGAAGAACACCAGUGGCGAAGGCGGUUUUCUAGCUUAUACCUGACGCUGAGGCGCGAAAGCAAGGGGAGCAAACAAG